Brassica napus (rape) is the source of this 946-nucleotide long non-coding RNA. RefSeq lists it as uncharacterized. The transcript is spliced from 3 exons. Lineage: Eukaryota; Viridiplantae; Streptophyta; Magnoliopsida; Brassicales; Brassicaceae. The record is from RefSeq and is a predicted model, not a curated record.
GUUCAUAUAAUAAUACGUAUUUGCUAUGACAAUUAAUUAUAAUGCUUCAUUUUUUAUAGUUUAUAUUGAUUUGGUUAGAAGACUUUGAAGUGGUUAAACCAUAUAUAAAUUAGAGUUUUCAAGACCAAAUUGUUAAGCCACUGUGACAACAAACUCUUGUUCUUGGAGUCUAUCUAAGUUUGUUUUCAUGAUUAAUAUCAUCGGUUGUGAUUAAAAAAAAUCAUUGGUUGUAGUUGUACUAGAACAAAAAUUUAAAUUUAAUAAGAACACAUAAUGGUACUUUUUUGAAAAAAAGUUUUCUAAUAGAAACAAUUCAAAUUCAAUAAGACAACCUCCUUUUUGGUAUGGGGUUGUUGGUCUAAUUUAAUGCUAGUAUGUUGCCUUGCCUUUCUUCUUCAACCAUCUUCAUAUUUAUAACUUCCUCUCCUUCACUUUGCAGUCCCACAAUCUUUCAAAUAGCCACGUUCCUUUUUUUCUCCGUUGAUGCUACUUUUGUCUUUGACGUUGCUGAAAGUAAGAGUUCUGCAAGGAUCCGAUGAUGUUCACCGGUAACGCGAGAUAUUAGUGCGGUUCAAUCAAAUAGUCGUGUUCUCACUUGAUAGAGAUCGGUUUUGUUCGAUUGAGCCGUGCCAAUAUCACGCGUCAACCCAAAACGGUAAAGAUGGUUUUAUUAACCGUGAAGGUAUGUUGACACGCGACACAAACCCCAAAAUCCAAGUACAACUGCGAUAUAACACUUCUAUUUUUAGAAAGUAAAUAAGAAAUUUUAAGCAAAAAGAAAAAUAUGUAGUAAUAGCUAGAAUGAAAAUGUUGUCGUGGGUUUUCUAUCGCGAGGAGAUUGCAACAAUACAGAGAAUUAUAAGUUUUGAUUUGUACUUAUUUGCACUUCUGUCUACAGUUAAUUGGCUUGUUUUUAACGUUACUUAAAUAAAAGUGUAAGGUUAAU